This 397-nucleotide ribosomal RNA is filed under the name uncultured prokaryote. Its description in RNAcentral is "partial 16S ribosomal RNA". The record is from RNAcentral.
CCUACGGGCGGCAGCAAGGAACGCUCUGGAUCGCGCCGACGUUGAUCCUAAGCGAAUAGGAGCCAUCUAUACGGGCUCGGAGAGCCAUCCAUAUGCGGUCAAGCCUACGGGGACCAUCGUCGGCCAGGCGGUAUGCACCUCAUCCUCCUUCACCACUGCGGAUUUUGAGUUCGCUUGCAAGGCGGGGACCGCGGCGAUUCAGGCCUGCCUGGGCCUGGUAGGCUCCGAUAUGAUCGAUCUGGGUUUGGCCAUCGGCGCAGACGUCAGCCAGGGAGCGCCAGGUGAUAUGCUGGAGUACACCGCAGCUGCCGGAGGAGCGGCUUAUUUGAUCGGAAAGAGGGAUCUGGCGGCACAGAUCGAGGGCUUUUAUUCCUUCACCACCGAUACCCGGGUAGUC